Long non-coding RNA from Oryzias melastigma (Indian medaka), 1112 nucleotides. RefSeq lists it as uncharacterized. The transcript has 2 exons. Lineage: Eukaryota; Metazoa; Chordata; Actinopteri; Beloniformes; Adrianichthyidae. The record is from RefSeq and is a predicted model, not a curated record.
CGUUUGGAUCCAUGUGCAAGCAGGUACGUUUAUUUAAACAUCCAAGAGCAGACACGGGCAAAAACAGAGACGUGGUCAAAAGCCAGGCAGAGGUCAAGGACGAGGAGCUAGACAGGGAGGUAAGUAAAACAGGCAAGGGUCAAAACACGAGUAUGCAAAAGAGUAAAUAAAACCGCUCAGAAAUUGCUAGGGAAAAACUAGGCAAUACUUUGCGGAGAAUGAGGACUAAAGUGAGAAUAUAAAUAUGGUGAGCCUGAUGAAGGUAAUUGCGUACAGCUGGUGAAAGAAGCAAUGGAGGAAAUAACUAUUAUUGUCUAAUUUAAAUUAGCAAAUUAGUUUACAUUAAAAACCCACCACCUACUUUGAUUAGAUUUUUUGAUCAAUUUUUAAGAUAAUCUCUACAUUAUGUUUUUUUAUACUGAUAUAACCCUCCUGGCAAGUAUUCCUACUUUAAGUCAUUAGUUUUUUUUAAUUUGUGAUACAACCUUUUAUUUUUGCAGCACGUAAUCUUAAUUUUCUCUCUGCUGAUGGAUGUUUAGGACAAAGAUUUGUCUUUUUCGCCAUCCUGUUGUGUUUCGCCAUCGUCUUACUCGGACAUACAAUUGACAUGCAGUGAUUUAAGGCUCAGACUGCAUUUUUGGGGCCUCUGGCGUUGUCUUCUCUGCACAUGGUUUCAUGGGUUUUGUGCCUGUAAGACUUGUUUUUAAUGUUUCAGCCUUCACCUUUAUCAUCGUUGCUGAUUUUAUCCUUGGAAUGCCGGAUUUGACUUCUGGAGUAUCUUCUGGAAGUGUUUCGUCCAGGAGUGGUCCUUCUGCCUCAGGCUGAGUUCUCUGGGGUUGUCUUCUCAGCACGUGGUUUUAUUGGUUCUUGGUUGUGUGCAUUUAAGACUUGCUGUUAUUCUUUUACCCUUGGCUCUGAACUUUUUCAUUAUUUCAUCAUCGCUCAUCAUUGAGUCAAAUACCUUCAUUUUUUUUAAAGAGUCUUUUUUUAAAGAGACUACAGAACAAAAUAUAAAUUAUAGAACAGAGCUUUACAUUACUACAAUCAAACAGAGGGAGCAAUUUAAACUGAAACAACUAAAAUAUUAUCAACAACAACAAAAAAAUAAAAAA